CGAGAGGCCGAGACCGUAGAAGACUUGGCCGAGAGGCCGAGACCUUAGAAGACUUGGCUGAGAGGCCGAGACCUGAGAAGACUUGGCCGAGAGGCCGAGGGACCGAGACCUUAGAAGGCUUGGCCGAGAGGCCGAGACCUUGGAAGGCUUGGCCGAGACGGCCGAGGAGCCGAGACCUUAGAAGACUUGCCCGAGGGGCCGAGACCUUAGAAGACUUGGCCGGGAGGCCGAGACGAUCGAGAGGUCGAGAUCUUAGAAGACUUGGCCGAGACGAUCGAGACCACUGGAACAUGGCCGAUGGCCGACCCAUGCCAUGAUGAUUUGGCCGAUGGCCGACCCCUAUUACAGUUAACGCUCAAACCAAGAUCAGUGAAGUUAAUCUAUCAUUAAGAAUUAGGUAAUGCAAACCUAAGAGGUGUCCACCUCGAUAAAUGGGCCCAACAAGGUAGGCCCACUAGAAU
Molecule: long non-coding RNA, 461 nt
Filed under: Phaseolus vulgaris (common bean)
Lineage: Eukaryota; Viridiplantae; Streptophyta; Magnoliopsida; Fabales; Fabaceae
Description: long non-coding RNA (PVUL_LNC001820)
Source: RNAcentral